UACGUAGGGGGCAAGCGUUGUCCGGAAUCAUUGGGCGUAACGAGCGUGUAGGCGGCUCGGUAAGUCCGCUGUGAAAGUCCAGGGCUCAACCCUGGAAUGCCGGUGGAAACUGUCGAGCUAGAGUCCGGAAGAGGCGAGUGGAAUUCCUGGUGUAGCGGUGAAAUGCGCAGAUAUCAGGAGGAACACCAAUGGCGAAGGCAGCUCGCUGGGACGGUACUGACGCUGAGACGCGAAAGCGUGGGGAGCAAACAGG
RNAcentral lists this ribosomal RNA (253 nucleotides) under uncultured bacterium. RNAcentral describes it as "partial 16S ribosomal RNA". It matches the Rfam family "Bacterial small subunit ribosomal RNA", at positions 524 to 776 of the family's 1533-position model. The record is from RNAcentral.